This is a small nuclear RNA of Pteronotus mesoamericanus, 109 nucleotides long. The record is from RefSeq and is a predicted model, not a curated record. NCBI's taxonomy places the organism in Eukaryota, Metazoa, Chordata, Mammalia, Chiroptera, Mormoopidae.
GUGCUCACUUUGGAAUCACAUAUACUAAAAAAUUGGAAUGAUAUGGAGAAGAUUAGCAUGGCCUCUGCACAAAGAUGAAAAGCAUAUUCUGGAAGUGUUCCACAGUUUU